AAUGGAUUUGUAAAUUUUGAGAUAUAAUGAAUUUUGUGAGACAAUGUCAGAAUGAAUUCGGGUUCCCCUGUUCUGACUUUGAAAAAUCAUAAAAAAAAUUAAGAAAAACAAUUAUGGGCUUAAAUUUAUAUGUAUAGAAUCCUUUAUGAGUCUAUUUUUAAGAGAAACAAACGAGAACAUUAUUUGAAUUCUUUAUGGAGAGAUAAUUAAUUUUUAGUGAAGAAGGG
This 227-nucleotide long non-coding RNA is filed under the name Gossypium barbadense (sea-island cotton). RNAcentral describes it as "long non-coding RNA (GBAR_LNC003583)". The record is from RNAcentral. Lineage: Eukaryota; Viridiplantae; Streptophyta; Magnoliopsida; Malvales; Malvaceae.